Molecule: ribosomal RNA, 729 nt
Filed under: uncultured eukaryote
Lineage: Eukaryota
Description: SSU rRNA
Rfam family: Eukaryotic small subunit ribosomal RNA
Source: RNAcentral
CGCGUGUACUGGUCCGGCCGGGCCUUUCCCUCUGUGGAACCCCAUGCCCUUCACUGGGUGUGGCGGGGAAACAGGACUUUUACUGUGAAAAAAUUAGAGCGCUCCAGGCAGGCCUAUGCUCGAAUACAUUAGCAUGGAAUAAUAGAAUAGGACGUGUGGUUCUAUUUUGUUGGUUUCUAGGACCGCCGUAAUGAUUAAUAGGGACAGUCGGGGGCAUCAGUAUUCAAUUGUCAGAGGUGAAAUUCUUGGAUUUAUUGAAGACUAACUACUGCGAAAGCAUUUGCCAAGGAUGUUUUCAUUAAUCAGGAACGAAAGUUAGGGGAUCGAAGACGAUCAGAUACCGUCGUAGUCUUAACCAUAAACUAUGCCGACUAGGGAUCGGACGAUGUUAUAUUUUGACUCGUUCGGCACCUUACGAGAAAUCAAAGUGCUUGGGCUCCAGGGGGAGUAUGGUCGCAAGGCUGAAACUUAAAGAAAUUGACGGAAGGGCACCACCAGGGGUGGAGCCUGCGGCUUAAUUUGACUCAACACGGGGAAACUCACCAGGUCCAGACACAAUGAGGAUUGACAGAUUGAGAGCUCUUUCUUGAUUUUGUGGGUGGUGGUGCAUGGCCGUUCUUAGUUGGUGGAGUGAUUUGUCUGCUUAAUUGCGAUAACGAACGAGACCUUAACCUGCUAAAUAGCCCGUAUUGCUUUGGCAGUACGCUGGCUUCUUAGAGGGACUAUCGG